GACGAACGCUGGCGGCGUGCCUAACACAUGCAAGUCGAACGAGAUCCAUGGGAGCUUGCUCCCGGAAGAUCUAGUGGCGAACGGGUGAGUAACACGUGAGAAACCUGCCCUGGAGUGGGGGAUAACUCGGGGAAACUCGAGCUAAUACCGCAUACCCUCGGAUGGUCGCAUGGCCGACCGAGGAAAGAUUUAUCGCUCUAGGAGGGUCUCGCGGCCUAUCAGCUAGUUGGUGGGGUAACGGCCUACCAAGGCAACGACGGGUAGCUGGUUUGAGAGAACGAUCAGCCACACUGGGACUGAGACACGGCCCAGACUCCUACGGGAGGCAGCAGUGGGGAAUCUUGCGCAAUGGGCGAAAGCCUGACGCAGCAACGCCGCGUGCGGGAUGACGGCCUUCGUGGUCGUAAACCGCUUUCAGCAGGGACGAAAAUGACGGUACCUGCAGAAGAAGCCCCGGCUAACUACGUGCCAGCAGCCGCGGUAAU
Molecule: ribosomal RNA, 485 nt
Filed under: uncultured bacterium
Lineage: Bacteria
Description: bacterial SSU rRNA
Rfam family: Bacterial small subunit ribosomal RNA
Source: RNAcentral